CCGAAAAUCUUCGUGCGCUUGCGCCCCCUGAGAUGUUCCAACGGUAGAGUUGAGAACUUAUUGCCGAACAUUAGAGAGUUACCGAUGUCGACAUGAUCCUGGCUGCAUUCACCUUCCGAGUAACACUGUCUUCGAAAUGCAAAACACAGUGUUCGUACGCACAGGGAAAACCUGAAAAACUGGGAAAACUCAGGGAGUUUCUUACAGCAGAGAGAAGUCAGGGAAUUUCGAAAAUAGGACUGGAAUUUUAAGUUUCUUGGAGAAAUUCGUUCUUAUACGUACAUUACUUGAUAUCAAACCUACUUUCUUUUUUUUCUUACUGAAAAUCGCUGGCUGUUGUUUGUAAAUUAGUAGUCGGACAGUAAAUUAAUUACUAGGUAAUAUUGAAGGCUGGAACACCUCGAAAAGUCAGGGAAUUUCGGGUUCCAAAAAGCGUACGAACCCUGAAA
Neodiprion fabricii is the source of this 449-nucleotide long non-coding RNA. RefSeq lists it as uncharacterized. The transcript is spliced from 3 exons. The record is from RefSeq and is a predicted model, not a curated record. Lineage: Eukaryota; Metazoa; Arthropoda; Insecta; Hymenoptera; Diprionidae.